RNAcentral lists this ribosomal RNA (1035 nucleotides) under Lasiodiplodia crassispora. RNAcentral describes it as "SSU rRNA". It matches the Rfam family "Eukaryotic small subunit ribosomal RNA", at positions 67 to 1110 of the family's 1831-position model. Lineage: Eukaryota; Fungi; Ascomycota; Dothideomycetes; Botryosphaeriales; Botryosphaeriaceae. The record is from RNAcentral.
AUAGCAUCUAUACUGUGAAACUGCGAAUGGCUCAUUAAAUCAGUUAUCGUUUAUUUGAUAGUACCUUACUACUUGGACAACCGUGGUAAUUCUAGAGCUAAUACAUGCUAAAAACCCCGACUUCGGAAGGGGUGUAUUUAUUAGAUAAAAAACCAAUGCCCUUCGGGGCUCCUUGGUGAAUCAUGAUAACUUAACGAAUCGCAUGGCCUUGCGCCGGCGAUGGUUCAUUCAAAUUUCUGCCCUAUCAACUUUCGAUGGUAGGAUAGUGGCCUACCAUGGUAUCAACGGGUAACGGGGAAUUAGGGUUCUAUUCCGGAGAGGGAGCCUGAGAAACGGCUACCACAUCCAAGGAAGGCAGCAGGCGCGCAAAUUACCCAAUCCCGACGCGGGGAGGUAGUGACAAUAAAUACUGAUACAGGGCUCUUUUGGGUCUUGUAAUUGGAAUGAGUACAAUUUAAAUACCUUAACGAGGAACAAUUGGAGGGCAAGUCUGGUGCCAGCAGCCGCGGUAAUUCCAGCUCCAAUAGCGUAUAUUAAAGUUGUUGCAGUUAAAAAGCUCGUAGUUGAACCUUGGGCCUGGCUGGCCGGUCUGCCUCACCGCAUGUACUGGUUCGGCCGGGCCUUUCCUCCUGGGGAUCCGCAUGCCCUUCACUGGGUGUGUUGGGGAACCAGGACUUUUACUUUGAAAAAAUUAGAGUGUUCAAAGCAGGCCUUUGCUCGAAUACAUUAGCAUGGAAUAAUAGAAUAGGACGUGCGGUCCUAUUUUGUUGGUUUCUAGGACCGCCGUAAUGAUUAAUAGGGAUAGUCGGGGGCAUCAGUAUUCAGUUGUCAGAGGUGAAAUUCUUGGAUUUACUGAAGACUAACUACUGCGAAAGCAUUUGCCAAGGAUGUUUUCAUUAAUCAGUGAACGAAAGUUAGGGGAUCGAAGACGAUCAGAUACCGUCGUAGUCUUAACCGUAAACUAUGCCGACUAGGGAUCGGGCGAUGUUAUUCUUUUGACUCGCUCGGCACCUUACGAGAAAUCAAAGUCUUGGG